CUACGGGUUGCACCAGUGAGGAAUAUUGCACAAUGGGGGAAACCCUGAUGCAGCAACGCCGCGUGGAGGAUGACGCAUUUCGGUGUGUAAACUCCUUUUAUAUGUCAAGAAAAUGACGGUAGCAUAUGAAUAAGCACCGGCUAACUCCGUGCCAGCAGCCGCGGUAAUACGGAGGGUGCAAGCGUUACUCGGAAUCACUGGGCGUAAAGGACGCGUAGGCUGGUUGGUAAGUCAGGUGUGAAAUCCUACAGCUUAACUGUAGAACUGCACUUGAAACUACCAACCUAGAGUAUGGGAGGGGGAGAUGGAAUUAGUGGUGUAGGGGUAAAAUCCGUAGAUAUCACUAGGAAUACCUAAAGCGAAGGCGAUCUCCUGGAACAUUACUGACGCUAAGGCGUGAAAGCGUGGGGAGCAAACAGGAUUAGAUACCCGCGUAGUC
This 439-nucleotide ribosomal RNA is filed under the name uncultured bacterium. Its description in RNAcentral is "partial 16S ribosomal RNA". It matches the Rfam family "Bacterial small subunit ribosomal RNA", at positions 339 to 795 of the family's 1533-position model. The record is from RNAcentral.